Long non-coding RNA from Astyanax mexicanus (Mexican tetra), 288 nucleotides. RefSeq lists it as uncharacterized. The record is from RefSeq and is a predicted model, not a curated record. The transcript has 3 exons. NCBI's taxonomy places the organism in Eukaryota, Metazoa, Chordata, Actinopteri, Characiformes, Acestrorhamphidae.
UUGUGUAUUUCUACAAAGGCAUUCGCAUCGAAAGCCUAUAACGUUUAUGAGGAGCCAACCCACAUCUUAAAUAUUAUGAACAUUACCACCGAACGCUAGAAGGAGCCCGCGAGCGAGUCAUCAAUGGAUCUAACGGGUUUAAUACAGUAAGGACGCUAGCUUUUCUGCUACUGUGAGCUGUGGCAGUUUGAUACAAUGAUCAUCAGUAGCUUACAAACAAAGAUUUCCCUACAUCUCCAUUUAAGCCUUUGCCUGAGAGUAAACACUGAGAAGGACAAGUUUGAGGUC